AUGAACGCUGGCGGCGUGCUUCACACAUGCCAGUCGAACGAAGCACUUUAUUUGAUUUCCUUCGGGACUGAUUAUUUUGUGACUGAGUGGCGGACGGGUGAGUAACGCGUGGGUAACCUGCCUUGUACAGGGGGAUAACAGUUGGAAACGGCUGCUAAUACCGCAUAAGCGCACAGCAUCGCAUGAUGCAGUGUGAAAAACUCCGGUGGUAUAAGAUGGACCCGCGUUGGAUUAGCUAGUUGGUGAGGUAACGGCCCACCAAGGCGACGAUCCAUAGCCGACCUGGGAGGGUGACCGGCCACAUUGGGACUGAGACACGGCCCAAACUCCUACGGGAGGCAGCAGUGGGGAAUAUUGCACAAUGGGCGAAAGCCUGAUGCAGCGACGCCGCGUGAGCGAAGAAGUAUUUCGGUAUGUAAAGCUCUAUCAGCAGGGAAGAUAAUGACGGUACCUGACUAAGAAGCACCGGCUAAAUACGUG
Molecule: ribosomal RNA, 480 nt
Filed under: uncultured bacterium
Lineage: Bacteria
Description: partial 16S ribosomal RNA
Rfam family: Bacterial small subunit ribosomal RNA
Source: RNAcentral